This is a non-coding RNA of Mycena leptocephala, 109 nucleotides long. The record is from the annotation of a GenBank genome assembly. Lineage: Eukaryota; Fungi; Basidiomycota; Agaricomycetes; Agaricales; Mycenaceae.
UCCGAAUUGGUGUAGGGGUCAACAUUGCCGCUUCUCAUGCUGACGUAAGCAAUUGUGGUUUUACGUAAUAUGUACGCGGCAGCCCGGGGUUCGAUUCCCCGAUUCGGAA